This 490-nucleotide ribosomal RNA is filed under the name uncultured bacterium. RNAcentral describes it as "partial 16S ribosomal RNA". It matches the Rfam family "Bacterial small subunit ribosomal RNA", at positions 28 to 507 of the family's 1533-position model. The record is from RNAcentral.
GAUGAACGCUAGCGAUAGGCUUAACACAUGCAAGUCGAGGGUCAGCAUGGUCUUAGCUUGCUAAGACUGAUUGCGACCGGCGCACGGGUGCGUAACGCGUAUGCAACUUGCCUCACAUAGUUGUAUAACCCGUCUAAAUACUGACUAAUACCUCGUACACUUGUUAUAUGGCAUCCUUACCCAAGUAAAUGAAAUUCUCUUUGAGAUAGGCAUGCGUCCCAUUAGCUAGUUGGUGAGGUAACGGCUCACCAAGGCGACGAUGUGUAGGGGAACUGAGAGGUAGAAAAACAACAAAGGUAAUGAGAAAAGGACAAGAAGCGUACGGGAGGCAGAAGUGAGGAAUAUUGGAAAAUGGGAGAGAGCAUGAAAAAGCAAAGACGCGUGAAGGAAGAAUGUGUUAUGGAUUGUAAACUUCUUUUAUAAGGGAAUAAAAAGAGCAACGUGUGGAAACAUGAAGGUACCGUAUGAAUAAGCAUCGGAUAACUACGUG